This 460-nucleotide ribosomal RNA is filed under the name uncultured bacterium. Its description in RNAcentral is "partial 16S ribosomal RNA". It matches the Rfam family "Bacterial small subunit ribosomal RNA", at positions 338 to 795 of the family's 1533-position model. The record is from RNAcentral.
CCUACGGGUGGCAGCAGUGAGGAAUAUUGGUCAAUGGACGCGAGCCUGAACCAGCCAAGUAGCGUGAAGGAUGACUGCCCUACGGGUUGUAAACUUCUUUUAUAUGGGAAUAAAGCGAGGCACGUGUACCUUUUUGUAUGUACUUUAUGAAUAAGGAUCGGCUAACUCCGUGCCAGCAGCCGCGGUAAUACGGAGGAUCCGAGCGUUAUCCGGAUUUAUUGGGUUUAAAGGGAGCGUAGAUGGGUUGUUAAGUCAGUUGUGAAAGUUUGCGGCUCAACCGUAAAAUUGCAAUUGAUACUGGCAGUCUUGAGUACAGUAGAGGUAGGCGGAAUUCGUGGUGUAGCGGUGAAAUGCUUAGAGAUCACGAAGAACUCCGAUUGCGAAGGCAGCCUACUGGACUGCAACUGACAUUGAUGCUCGAAAGUGUGGGUAUCAAACAGGAUUAGAUACCCUAGUAGUC